This 344-nucleotide long non-coding RNA is filed under the name Ananas comosus (pineapple). RNAcentral's name for it is "long non-coding RNA (ACOM_LNC010027)". Lineage: Eukaryota; Viridiplantae; Streptophyta; Magnoliopsida; Poales; Bromeliaceae. The record is from RNAcentral.
CAAUCCUUAAGGCUGUGUUUGGUUCGAGAACUAAAUUGUGAGGGAUAACUCUUGUUGUUGCCGAAAACAGGGGAUAUUCCGGUAUAAAUUAGAACUUGUGUUUGGAUGUUACUGGUUUGUUCCCGAAGGAUAUUUUUGAUAGUUUUUGGAUCUUUAUGUUGGAAUAAGAUAUUGGAUUGAUAAAAUUUAAGUAGAAUAAUAAUUUUGCCCUUGAAUAUUGUAGUGUUCCUGAGGUUUGGAUAGAAUUGGCUACAGUGCUAGUGACUAGUCGACACAUCUGGAGAGUGUCGGACUGAGUCGGAGUCAAUUCUGUACGAAAUGGAUGCAGAAAUGGACUCGGCGCA